RNAcentral lists this long non-coding RNA (2384 nucleotides) under Hordeum vulgare. Its description in RNAcentral is "long non-coding RNA (HVUL_LNC019590)". Lineage: Eukaryota; Viridiplantae; Streptophyta; Magnoliopsida; Poales; Poaceae. The record is from RNAcentral.
AAAUCAGCUCUUUAUUACUAUGAAAAAAGGUUACAAGGGUACUUGGAUUACAUCGCCACGGCGAUAUUACGCCUGCCUACGGUAAUUCUACACUAGCAACGGAACAACGAGGUGGUGAUGGGCUCCCGUCUGCAGUGACUCUGGCUGGAACGUGUAUCCUAGAUCGCAACUUGGGAUCCUCGACAAGCAAGCAAUCAUGGCAUGACCUGCAAACUGGCAUGACACGUCAGGUGAGUACUUUGAAUGUACUCGCAAGCUCACAACAAACAUCAGCAUUAAGACAAGACAACAUCAUAGUAAUCAAUAUUAGGUAAAGAUUCAUCAGCACCAAAGGGAUAGUUGAAAAUAACUAUACCAGGCUACUCUCACCGUACUCUGGUGACCAACUCGUGAUCUCACCAAGAUCCUUCAGUGAAUAUCCUCAACACGGACACCAAGACUUGUCACCGGCAUGAUGCCCAACUGCUACCAUACUCAUACGAGUUCUUCCAUCAUUAUCAUCACUAUCAUGGUUAUGGUUGACCACCUAGUAAGGUCUGGACGGGUGUCCAAUACCGUGGACGCGGCUAUUCAAAUAGAUUUUUCACUCUGCAGAGGUUGUGCACUUUACCCACAUCAUGGAGCGUCUGACCUCGUGAUCCCAUUCGGGUGGACCUGUGUUGCUCCAACAAAACUUGCCUGACCCGUGACUCCCCCUCCAUACCACCGGCAUUCAUCCUCCCCCGGAGUCGUGCCCUGGGUGGCCCCUGUGUCCUCAUGACACCUGCCACCAUCGUGGCCAAACUAAACUGUCCCAAACGAAGACGGGCCCAAACAACUCAACAGGGCUCACAAGGUUACAAUCGCCUACCAGGCCAGGGUAGCGCGCAUAACCUUUCCUCUUUGGUGGUACAAAUAAAAGAGCACGCGAUCGGACCAAGUCAAGGCCAUCCCAUACCGGCAAAUGUGGCUGAACGGAUAAGCCCCAACAGGUGACUCCUGAUCAACCAACUAAGUAUAUUAUCCCCCAAAUAAUAUUUAGAUCAUAGCUGACACUCCAAUAUCAUAGUAAUCCAGUAACCAAUAAGCUCAAGCCACUGCUAUUGAUUCAUAUCCAUAGACUGCCGGAUGAAACCUAAAAUAAUCAUAGACAAUAAUCUUGAACAGCAUGGCACUAACUAGUGUGUAAAAUACUAGUUACUAAUCCCGUACUCAACAUGGUAGUCACCUCAGAAUUUAUUCAAACAUUGCAUAAUCUAAUCCAUACUACAAAUAAUUAUGAUUGCGACUAAAUUAAUUGAUUAAACUAUGAUAUUGCAAUGCAAUUAUGCAAAUGAGGGUUGUGGCUUGCCUCGGGGUGAUAGAACCAUCGGGAAGAAGUGCGGAAAGUCCGCGGAAUUGAUUGACGGGCACAGUUCUCUCUCAAAGGGUCUCGAUCGGAGUUGGGAUCGCGAAGAUACAGAUGUUCAUUUGUUAGGCAGAAAAUAAAAACCAUUUAUUUAUGCUCUUGACCAGUGAACGUUCAUAAUAUAGCAGAUUCGAUCGGCUGGUUAGAACUGAAAGCGCAUUCGCGGAAGUGCGUUUUGAAUUAAGAGAAAACGUAUUCCUGCUCCAGGCCGAAGCAAAGUAUGCCUUCAUAAUGGGGAAACGUAUUAUACAAAAUACGUUUUCACUAAUGCCAGUCAACGGGUUAGCCUAGUCAGCGCCUGGGCCGCUGACGCGCGGGGCCCACCUGCAGGUUAUAUCCCCGGCCUCUAGUCACCUUCAUCCUCCUGACAAAGGACAGGGAAGGGCUCGGGCACCGGCACCGGCGUUGCCUCGCCGUGCCAGAAGGUUGGCCGACGAGCGCGGCGGUACUGCCACUCCGUCUCACGCCCGGGGGAAGCGGCGGGGCGUCCGAGGGAGCUCACCACGCCGAGGCCAUCGACGGGGUUGCAGCGGUCGGAUGCCUUGGGGGAGCGACGCCGGUGGGGCCUCUCCGGAGGAAAGGAGGGCGGAGGCGGCUCUGGUGGGUCUCGGGUAGGCUAGUUGAGGGGUUAGGAAGGAAAGAGGGCUUUGGGGAUGGGUUUUGGCCAUGGGGAUCGGCGGCGGCUGUCUCGGCCAUGGGUGAGGAGAGGAGCUCCCUGAGCUCGAAUGGGAGGGGUUGGGUUUGCUGGUAGCAAGGAGGGCUCGGGGCACGCCCUAUAUAGGCCCGGGGAGGAGCUACGUGAUGGCGGCCGAGGCUUCGAGAUGGUCGUCGCCGUGGCGGCGCUCCGGCGGUCGACAAACACAGCCGUAAGGUACAUGACGAGGGGGAGAGGGAUCUGGAGGGUGCGCAAACGCACUGGGAAGCUCUCCGACGCUCGUGGACAAGCCAGGGCUCGCUGGAGAGGCGCUCCCGACGACUCGAAUGCACAGGGCACAAU